UGACUGGGGCGGUCUCCUCCGAAAGAGUAGCAGAGGAGCGCGAAGGUACCCUCGGCACGUUUGGAAAUCGUGCUCUGAGUGCAAUGGCAUAAGGGUGCUUGACUGCGAGACAGACACGUCGAGCAGGUUGCGAUUCGGGGCUACAACCAGAUCCCUCGGCAAUCCCGGACAUUUCUCGCGAUUGAUGAUGCGGGAUACGAAAGGAUCCGGUCGCUACCGAU
Molecule: ribosomal RNA, 221 nt
Filed under: Gammaproteobacteria bacterium
Lineage: Bacteria; Pseudomonadati; Pseudomonadota; Gammaproteobacteria
Description: partial 23S ribosomal RNA
Rfam family: Bacterial large subunit ribosomal RNA
Source: RNAcentral